Molecule: long non-coding RNA, 1088 nt
Organism: Cyprinus carpio carpio
Lineage: Eukaryota; Metazoa; Chordata; Actinopteri; Cypriniformes; Cyprinidae
Source: Ensembl
GCCUUCCGAAGGCUUGAGAUGGUAAAUCUCUUAAUUGAUCAGAUUAAUGCAUUAUAAUGCUUUGGCAUGUCUGACAAACUAUAACCCCUCUGAGGACAAAAAGGUUCGGAUUAAAUCCAUUAUUUUAAUCCUUCCAUUUUAAUGUAUGCCACAGCAAAAAUGUAAUAUCACAUAACCCUCCAUUGCUAUUCAUCAGUGAGGGAACUGCAAAGUCAACACACAUUUUAAUUACAAGCCAAAAGCAAUUAAACGUGAGGACAAGCGUCAGUAUGCUAAUUAAAUGGCAGGCUCCCGUGGGAAGAGAAGCUCUUAAAUAUCACUGCUAUCAGUCCAGAUUGAGGACUACGAGCUGCCAUCGUUCACACUCACCUGACACAUUUUCACCUCCCAGCUGCAGUAAAGCAAACACGGGCUUGACUGCCUGGAUAGCUAACAAGCUAGCCCGCUAACAAGGAGACUCCAAUAGCGAGCCCCUCAACAGAUUAGCACCUCAUCAGCCUCCCGUGGCUGGGGACAAAUAUAGCCUUCCCUCCCAUAAAAUACAAUGGGACCGCCGGGGAUAAACAACACCCCAGCGGGGGGUCCGAUUCCCCCUAACUAAACUUCCUGACCUUCCCCUUCUCUCUGCCUCACAGCUGCCUGAGCCACCAAGUCCUGCUCCAGCCCUGUGGCCCAAUUGGAGAGUUGUGUGUAUUUCAGGUGAGCAAAUAUUGCCACUUGCUUGAGAGUUCAAUGGUUGCCCCUUUCAGAGGUUGCGUAUUGCAGUCACUCACUUGCAGGAAGUAGGUGUGAAGCUAUGGGAAUUCCUCUCAGCACAGCUGGAGUCAUCCAAUCAGCCCAGUCUUGGAUUGGCCCUUAGAAUUCAGCCUCUUAGUGGAUUCUUUCGGUCUCAUUUAACUCUGGUGUAUGGACCGCUAGAACAGAAAAGGGAAAGUGUCAUUUCUUUGAAACGUACAGUCUUUGGAUGGCCGAUUCUGUGGAACUUGAGAAUUAACCUGUUUUUGAGAUGCCUUUGACCUCACUAAGCAUUUGCAAAGGUGCCAACUGGUCAUUAAGCUCCGAUCUUAAUAGAAAUGUCUCAAACUGAG